This 444-nucleotide ribosomal RNA is filed under the name uncultured bacterium. RNAcentral describes it as "partial 16S ribosomal RNA". It matches the Rfam family "Bacterial small subunit ribosomal RNA", at positions 339 to 795 of the family's 1533-position model. The record is from RNAcentral.
CUACGGGCGGCUGCAGUCGAGAAUCUUCCACAAUGGGCGAAAGCCUGAUGGAGCGACGCCGCGUGCGUGAUGAAGCUCUUCGGAGUGUAAAGCGCUUUUAUAAAGGAGAAACGCAAGUGAUAUUACUUUAUGAAUAAGGGGUUGCUAAACUCGUGCCAGCAGCCGCGGUAAUACGAGUGCCCCGAGCGUUAUCCGGAAUUACUGGGCGUAAAGGGUGUGUAGGGGGCAAUGUUAGUCUUACUUUAAAUUCUUCCGCUCAACGGAGGAUCUGGGUAUGAUACGGCAUUGCUCAGAGGAUGCGAGAGGUUGAUGGAACUCUGGGUGUAGGGGUGGAAUCCGUUGAUAUCCAGGGGAACACCAAAGGCGAAGGCAAUCAACUGGCGCAUUCCUGACCCUGAAACACGAAAGCGUGGGGAUCGAAAGGGAUUAGAUACCCGUGUAGUC